This 76-nucleotide transfer RNA is filed under the name Psychrobacillus glaciei. RNAcentral's name for it is "tRNA-Thr". It matches the Rfam family "tRNA". From Rfam's summary of the family: Transfer RNA (tRNA) molecules are approximately 80 nucleotides in length. RNAcentral also lists the same sequence under 2 other names. Lineage: Bacteria; Bacillati; Bacillota; Bacilli; Caryophanales; Bacillaceae. The record is from RNAcentral.
GCCGAAGUAGCUCAACUGGUAGAGCAACUGACUUGUAAUCAGUAGGUUGAGGGUUCAAGUCCUUUCUUCGGCACCA